RNAcentral lists this unclassified non-coding RNA (137 nucleotides) under soil metagenome. RNAcentral describes it as "partial internal transcribed spacer 1". The record is from RNAcentral.
CCUAGAGUUGUAGGCUUUGCCUGCUAUCUCUUACCCAUGUCUUUUGAGUACCUUCGUUUCCUCGGCGGGUCCGCCCGCCGAUUGGACAAUUUAAACCACUUGCAGUUGCAAUCAGCGUCUGAAAAACUUAAUAGUUA